AAGAAAGUGGCAGAGUGGUCAUGCGGUUGACUUGAAAUCUCCUUAUAGGGGUUCGAUUCCCUUCUUUCUCG
RNAcentral lists this transfer RNA (71 nucleotides) under Laeops kitaharae. Its description in RNAcentral is "tRNA-Ser". It matches the Rfam family "tRNA". Rfam says of the family: Transfer RNA (tRNA) molecules are approximately 80 nucleotides in length. Their secondary structure includes four short double-helical elements and three loops (D, anti-codon, and T loops). RNAcentral also lists the same sequence under 1 other name. The record is from RNAcentral. Lineage: Eukaryota; Metazoa; Chordata; Actinopteri; Pleuronectiformes; Bothidae.